UGGGGAAUACUGCACAAUGGGCGCAAGCCUGAUGCAGCCAUGCCGCGUGUGUGAAGAAGGCCUUCGGGUUGUAAAGCACUUUCAGCGAGGAGGAAGGUGGUGAGCUUAAUACGCUCAUCAAUUGACGUUACUCGCAGAAGAAGCACCGGCUAACUCCGUGCCAGCAGCCGCGGUAAUACGGAGGGUGCAAGCGUUAAUCGGAAUUACUGGGCGUAAAGCGCACGCAGGCGGUUUGUUAAGUCAGAUGUGAAAUCCCCGGGCUCAACCUGGGAACUGCAUUUGAAACUGGCAAGCUAGAGUCUCGUAGAGGGGGGUAGAAUUCCAGGUGUAGCGGUGAAAUGCGUAGAGAUCUGGAGGAAUACCGGUGGCGAAGGCGGCCCCCUGGACGAAGACUGACGCUCAGGUGCGAAAGCGUGGGGCAGCAAACAGGAUUAGAUACCCUGGUAGUCCAGCGCUGUAAACGAUGUCGAUUUGGAGGUUGUGCCCUUGAGGCGUGGCUUCCGGAGCUAACGCGUUAAAUCGACCGCCUGGGGAGUACGGCCGCAAGGUUAAAACUUAAAUGAAUUGAC
Molecule: ribosomal RNA, 569 nt
Filed under: uncultured bacterium
Lineage: Bacteria
Description: partial 16S ribosomal RNA
Rfam family: Bacterial small subunit ribosomal RNA
Source: RNAcentral